GUAAAAUAUAUUAAAUGGUAUGUUUGUCUUGGGGUGAAAUACUUUCACUCAGAACACGAUGCAACUAACCAGGUUCAGGUAGAAAGAACGUGCUCAUUGAUUAACUUCCAAAGCCACCGUCAUCCUAGAGUCGGGACGAUAGCUUGCAGGUAAUCCAGGCCGGUGCCAGCCUCCCUCCCCUCGUCCCCUGAAAGAUGGCAGCACCUACCAUUAUGCGCUGAGAGGUCUCAACAUAUUUCAUACCUUCUUAACCCUCCGAAAGAUGGCAGUAGCAAGAAUGAGGCACUAGACAUGAAGGUAUGAGA
This is a long non-coding RNA of Macrobrachium nipponense, 305 nucleotides long. RefSeq lists it as uncharacterized. NCBI's taxonomy places the organism in Eukaryota, Metazoa, Arthropoda, Malacostraca, Decapoda, Palaemonidae. The record is from RefSeq and is a predicted model, not a curated record. The transcript is spliced from 3 exons.